RNAcentral lists this long non-coding RNA (434 nucleotides) under Coturnix japonica (Japanese quail). RNAcentral's name for it is "lncRNA (ENSCJPG00005005402.1)". The record is from RNAcentral. Lineage: Eukaryota; Metazoa; Chordata; Aves; Galliformes; Phasianidae.
GGGGGAUGCUGGGCACUCCUGGCUCAGGCAUAGCUCAAGAGCAUCCUUUGGCUGUUCGAGCUCAGUGGAUCAGGCUGUGCUGCACACAGGCUGAUGAGCUGCUAAUGGCAAAGUAUACCCAGCUGGGCUGAGUGCUGCCAGGGCAAGGUGACUGCUGCUGAAGCAAAAUGCUUCAUGGAAAUUGUUGUCAUUUUGCAGCAAGGAGGGCUGUGUGUGUCACCUACUGGCAAGGAAGAGGAAGGGUGACUGGAAGGUAAAGGUCUGUCUCUCCCUGGAUGGUGCAGCACUCCCAGUGCACACAGGUGGAAAUCGAUAUCAUCUCAGAAGGACAGUCCACAGCAUUGUUGAGACUGUUGAAGGAGAUGUUCCAGCUGCCACCAGGCCAUGGAGAUGUGCUUCUGUCCAGACAGCAAACUUCCAGUGGUGCAGUGUGA